GACGAACGCUGGCGGCGUGCUUAACACAUGCAAGUCGAACGGUAAGGCCCUGCUUUUGUGGGGUGCUCGAGUGGCGAACGGGUGAGUAACACGUGAGUAACCUGCCCUUGACUUUGGGGUAACUUCAGGAAACUGGGGCUAAUACCGGAUAGGAGCUCCUGCUGCAUGGUGGGGGUUGGAAAGUUUGGGCGGUUGGGGUUGGAGUCGGGGCUUAGCCGCUUGUUGGUGGGGUAGUGGCUUACCAAGGCUUUGCCGGGUGGCGGCCCGGAGGGGGGGACCGGCGACAUGGGCACGAGACAUCGGCCAGGCCUCAGUGGGGAGGAUGGGGUGGGGAGUGAAGGACAGAGGCCGAAGCCUGAUGCAGCAACGCCGCGUGCUGGAUGACUGCCUUCGGGUUGUAAACCGCUUUCGCCUGUGACGAAGCGUGAGUGACGGUAAUGGGUAAAGAAGCACCGGCUAACUACGUG
RNAcentral lists this ribosomal RNA (467 nucleotides) under uncultured bacterium. RNAcentral's name for it is "partial 16S ribosomal RNA". It matches the Rfam family "Bacterial small subunit ribosomal RNA", at positions 28 to 507 of the family's 1533-position model. The record is from RNAcentral.